Molecule: ribosomal RNA, 469 nt
Filed under: uncultured bacterium
Lineage: Bacteria
Description: partial 16S ribosomal RNA
Rfam family: Bacterial small subunit ribosomal RNA
Source: RNAcentral
GACGAACGCUGGCGGCGUGCUUAACACAUGCAAGUCGAACGGUGAAGCGAGUGCUUGCACUCGUGGAUCAGUGGCGAACGGGUGAGUAACACGUGAGUAACCUGCCCAUCACUCUGGGAUAAGCACUGGAAACGGUGUCUAAUACUGGAUACGACCAACCCUUGCAUGGGGUGUUGGUGGAAAGAUUUAUCGGUGAUGGAUGGACUCGCGGCCUAUCAGCUUGUUGGCGGGGUAAUGGCCCACCAAGGCGACGACGGUUAGCCGGCCUGAGAGGGUGACCGGCCACACUGGGACUGAGACACGGCCCAGACUCCUACGGGAGGCAGCAGUGGGGAAUAUUGCACAAUGGGCGAAAGCCUGAUGCAGCGACGCCGCGUGAGGGAUGACGGCCUUCGGGUUGUAAACCUCUUUCAGCAGGGAAGAAGCGAAAGUGACGGUACCUGCAGAAGAAGCACCGGCUAACUACGUG